CCUACGGGUGGCUGCAGUGGGGAAUAUUGGACAAUGGGCGAAAGCCUGAUCCAGCCAUGCCGCGUGUGUGAAGAAGGCCUUCGGGUUGUAAAGCACUUUCAGUGGGGAAGAAAGCCUUGGGGCUAAUACCCUCGAGGAAGGACAUCACCCACAGAAGAAGCACCGGCUAACUCCGUGCCAGCAGCCGCGGUAAUACGGAGGGUGCGAGCGUUAAUCGGAAUUACUGGGCGUAAAGCGCGCGUAGGCGGUCUGAUAAGCCGGUUGUGAAAGCCCCGGGCUCAACCUGGGAACGGCAUCCGGAACUGUCAGGCUAGAGUGCAGGAGAGGAAGGUAGAAUUCCCGGUGUAGCGGUGAAAUGCGUAGAGAUCGGGAGGAAUACCAGUGGCGAAGGCGGCCUUCUGGACUGACACUGACGCUGAGGUGCGAAAGCGUGGGUAGCAAACAGGAUUAGAUACCCCUGAGUC
RNAcentral lists this ribosomal RNA (464 nucleotides) under Vreelandella stevensii. Its description in RNAcentral is "partial 16S ribosomal RNA". It matches the Rfam family "Bacterial small subunit ribosomal RNA", at positions 338 to 795 of the family's 1533-position model. The record is from RNAcentral. Lineage: Bacteria; Pseudomonadati; Pseudomonadota; Gammaproteobacteria; Oceanospirillales; Halomonadaceae.